This 1485-nucleotide long non-coding RNA is filed under the name Sus scrofa (pig). Its description in RNAcentral is "lncRNA (ENSSSCG00045008266.1)". The record is from RNAcentral. Lineage: Eukaryota; Metazoa; Chordata; Mammalia; Artiodactyla; Suidae.
UUUUUGUUUUUUUUCCACUGGGAGAACAAUGCCUGGCACAUGUUAGGUAUUUAAUAGCUAUGUAAUAACUAAAAAAGAGAUCAGGAGGGCUUUUGUGUAGUCUGCUUCGAAAUUUUAAAAGAAAUACUGUUACUGGCAUUUGUUUCCAGUUCAGAAAAACAAUCGUCCUUGUCAUUGUGGGGAUUUCUGCAAAGGUUUUGGAAGUAUCAAGUGUGGUAUUAGAUGGCUGUGAUCAAACAAGAAUGUCCAAUGCAAUUUCCAGCUUUUCCUUUGUUCCAAGGCAGAGCAGUACACAGAGCUGGAUAAGUGGACUCUUCUUUGUGCAGAUGGAGAACAUAUCCCUUACAAAGUACCUAAAGCCCUAAAGUGGCUUCCUUUGUUAAUGCAGAUGACCCUAAAGGCUUCUGAAACACUUAGCUCUUAGGAAAUGUUAGUCUGUUUUUCUCUAUGGAGCCUACAGUACCCAUGCUCUCACUUUUGGUUUACUUUGUUUAUAUUCUCUUGAUAAAUUGAUUUUGACUAAUAAUAGUGCAGCAAAGAUUUUAUCUGAUCAAUACAGCAUAGGACGCCAUUCUGAAGGUAGAUUCAAAGAGUCCUGCAGCCCUGUUACAAGGAAUCUAGGUAAAGGAAAUUUUAAGAUUCUGGGUUUUUUGUGGGGUUUUUUUUGCCUUUUCUAGGGCUGCUCCCACGGCAUAUGGAGGUUGAAAGAUGAAAAAUCUGCUUCCCUGUUGCCAUUUCACAAAUAUGCCAAGGCAGUACCAUAUUAGUCACUAAGACAGAUAUUUCCCUUAUAAAUUGUCAAAUAUGUUGUAAAAUAUCCAUUUUUACAAGGCAAGCAAUAAGGCCAUAUUUAUUUUUUAAAUGGCCCAUCAACGUUUUUAUUUCUUUGGAAUCGUCUCAUGAAAAAAAAAAAAAUUUACUCUCAAUAAUGGUCUAAAGAGAAGCCUGCAUGAAGCAAUGCGGUGUUACUCAUCCUUUUUAAAAAAGGUGUUGAGUGACCUCUGGAGGCAAGUGGGGGAAAGUAUCAUCCUGCUUUCAGGAAUGAAAUGGGGAGAUUUGGAAAGCAGAUUUCUUUUCAUCUAGAGAAAAAAAUUUUUUGAGGUUUAAUCAGAGUGAAUUAAAAUGUUUAACUUUAGAAUUAGUUUACUGAAUCUCAAUUCAAUUAUGUAACAUUUUUUUCAUUUUUAAAAAAGUUUUACUCAAGUAUAGUUGACCUAUAAUGUUGUGAUAAUUUCUGCUAUACAACAAAGUGAUUUCAGUUAUACCAUACACACACCCAAUAUCUUUCAGAUUCUUCUCCCCCAUAGAUUAUCACAAAAUAUUGGGUAGGGUUCUCUGUGCUAUAGAGAAGUUGCCUGUUGGCCAAUCAAUUAUACAAUAUUUAUUAAGGAUAUAAUACAAUGCUACAAGGGAGAUAGAAACAUAAGAUCCACAGUUUCCAUCUCAUGGAGUUUACAAUCUACUAGGGGACAAAAGAUAAGUGCU